GAUGAACGCUGGCGGCGUGCCUAAUACAUGCAAGUCGAGCGAACAGACGAGGAGCUUGCUCCUCUGACGUUAGCGGCGGACGGGUGAGUAACACGUGGAUAACCUACCUAUCAGACUGGGAUAACUUCGGGAAACCGGAGCUAAUACCGGAUAAUAUAUUGAACCGCAUGGUUCAAUAGUGAAAGACGGUUUUGCUGUCACUUAUAGAUGGAUCCGCGCCGCAUUAGCUAGUUGGUAAGGUAACGGCUUACCAAGGCAACGAUGCGUAGCCGACCUGAGAGGGGGAUCGGCCACACGGGAACUGAGACACGGACCAGACUCCUAAGGGAGGCAGCAGUAGGGAAUCUGCCGCAAUGGGCGAAAGCCUGACGGAGCAACGCCGCGUGAGUGAUGAAGGUCUUCGGAUCGUAAAACUCUGUUAUGAGGGAAGAACAAAUGUGUAAGUAACUAUGCACGUCUUGACGGUACCUAAUCAGAAAGCCACGGCUAACUACGUG
This 497-nucleotide ribosomal RNA is filed under the name uncultured bacterium. Its description in RNAcentral is "partial 16S ribosomal RNA". It matches the Rfam family "Bacterial small subunit ribosomal RNA", at positions 28 to 507 of the family's 1533-position model. The record is from RNAcentral.